RNAcentral lists this ribosomal RNA (748 nucleotides) under uncultured bacterium. RNAcentral describes it as "bacterial SSU rRNA". It matches the Rfam family "Bacterial small subunit ribosomal RNA", at positions 654 to 1399 of the family's 1533-position model. The record is from RNAcentral.
GGGGGGACGGGAAUUUCUGGUGUAGCGGGGAAAUGGGCAGAUAUUCAGGAGGAACACCGGGGGCGAAGGGGGGUCUUUGGGCAGUAAAUGACGGUGAGGAGGGGAAAGCAUGGGUAGCGAACAGGAUUAGAUACCCUGGUAGUCCACACUGUAAACGAUGAAUGCUAGGUGUAGGUGGUAUCGACCCCAUCUGUGCCGCAGUAAACACAAUAAGCAUUCCGCCUGGGGAGUACGGCCGCAAGGUUGAAACUCAAAGAAAUUGACGGGGGCCCGCACAAGCAGCGGAGCAUGUGGUUUAAUUCGAAGCAACGCGAAGAACCUUACCAGGUCUUGACAUCCAGUAAAAGCCAGAGAGAUUUGGUGUGCCUUCGGGCAUACUGAGACAGGUGGUGCAUGGUUGUCGUCAGCUCGUGUCGUGAGAUGUUGGGUUAAGUCCCGCAACGAGCGCAACCCCUAUUAUUAGUUACUAACAAGUAAAGUUGAGGACUCUAUUGGGACUGCCGUGGACAACACGGAGGAAGGUGGGGACGACGUCAAAUCAUCAUGCCCCUUAUGACCUGGGCUACACACGUGCUACAAUGGUCGCAACAAAGAGGAGCAAAACCGUAAGGUAGAGCAGAUCUCAAAAACGCGAUCUCAGUUCGGAUUGUGGGCUGCAACCCGCCCACAUGAAGUAGGAGUUGCUAGUAAUCGCGAAUCAGCAUGUCGCGGUGAAUACGUUCCCGGGCCUUGUACUCACCGCCCGUCA